CGCUGAGCACCAACUUCGAGGAGGAAGCCACUAUUUGAUGCCUGAGCGGUGACGCUAAGCAUCUUGCGAUUCUGAAACCCAGUGCUGAGCACCGAGAUCCACCGCUGAGCACCCUGCGAUUAUAGGGGCUACCGCUGAGCGGUCGAAUGAGCGUUGAGUGCCUAAAUGAUGGGCCUAGGCCGAAAUUCUGUUACUUUUCUGUGUUAUAAAUAGCCCCAGUGCGACCCUUAGGGUAAUUUAACCAAGCCCAGCAGACAACCGCUCAGCGUCCAAUUUAAC
Molecule: long non-coding RNA, 279 nt
Filed under: Vigna radiata
Lineage: Eukaryota; Viridiplantae; Streptophyta; Magnoliopsida; Fabales; Fabaceae
Description: long non-coding RNA (VRAD_LNC012601)
Source: RNAcentral